Molecule: ribosomal RNA, 427 nt
Filed under: uncultured bacterium
Lineage: Bacteria
Description: partial 16S ribosomal RNA
Rfam family: Bacterial small subunit ribosomal RNA
Source: RNAcentral
UGGGGAAUAUUGGACAAUGGGCGAAAGCCUGAUCCAGCCAUGCCGCGUGUGUGAAGAAGGUCUUCGGAUUGUAAAGCACUUUAAGUUGGGAGGAAGGGUAUUAACCUAAUACGUUAGUGUUUUGACGUUACCGACAGAAUAAGCACCGGCUAACUCUGUGCCAGCAGCCGCGGUAAUACAGAGGGUGCAAGCGUUAAUCGGAAUUACUGGGCGUAAAGCGCGCGUAGGUGGUUUGUUAAGUUGGAUGUGAAAUCCCCGGGCUCAACCUGGGAACUGCAUUCAAAACUGACUGACUAGAGUAUGGUGGAGGGUGGUGGAAUUUCCUGUGUAGCGGUGAAAUGCGUAGAUAUAGGAAGGAACACCAGUGGCGAAGGCGACCACCUGGACUAAUACUGACACUGAGGUGCGAAAGCGUGGGGAGCAAACA